CUUGGGUUCAGCAUCUUUGUCUGCAAAACAGGAUUAUUUCUCACUGGAACCAAGCUUUCUGGGAAUGAGGAUAUGACAGUCACCCUCUCAGAUGGCACUAAAUGAUCCCUCUCUCCUGGUAUCUGCAGUCUGUGUAAUCUCCCUUUCAGCUUGGCGUGAAUGAAUUGAUUCGCUUCCCAUAAGUGGAAUAGGACAGAAAUGAUGAGAUAUCACUUCCAAGACUGAGUCAUAAGAAGAAGUCAGUUUCCCGCUUGGAUGCUUGCUCUCCUGCUCUAAGGGGAUCCAGCUACCACGUCCUGAGCUGCCCACUGGAGAUACUAACAUGACAAGGCACUGAGGGUGACCAGUAGCCUGAAGCCCCCAAGGAACUGAAUCCUGCCAGUAGUCAUAUGACUGAGC
Molecule: long non-coding RNA, 399 nt
Filed under: Pan troglodytes (chimpanzee)
Lineage: Eukaryota; Metazoa; Chordata; Mammalia; Primates; Hominidae
Description: long non-coding RNA NONPTRT005907
Source: RNAcentral